Spodoptera frugiperda (fall armyworm) is the source of this 1999-nucleotide long non-coding RNA. RefSeq lists it as uncharacterized. NCBI's taxonomy places the organism in Eukaryota, Metazoa, Arthropoda, Insecta, Lepidoptera, Noctuidae. The transcript has 2 exons. The record is from RefSeq and is a predicted model, not a curated record.
UAAUCAUUAAAUGUCUCUGAGUGCGGCAGUAACACGUCUUAGUCGAGUUGGAAAUAUUGAAAAGUUUUUAAUUUAAGUUCGUGAUCUCACUGGGAUUUGACAUAGAAAUUGGACAUUUUUACUUUACAGUAUGAUAAUUUCUAGUGCCAAAAUAAGUUUCGAAAAAAGGAAAACUUGAUUAAAAUAACGUUUUGUGAAUUAGUUUGUAUUGAAACUUUUAUGUAUAUUUAGAUUUAGAUUUCGUUUUCUGUAGAAAUUGAUAUAAUAUAAAGAAAUAAAAAAAUAAAUAUGCCUGCAGAGCCUUCGUAAGUAACUAAGAAUAGUUAUAUAUCAAAUGUUUCAAAAUGCUUGCAAUUUUUUGAUAGAGGUCGCUACUAGAAUAAUCCUAUACCUGUCUGAUUUCAUCCAAUGGUUUGAUCGGUCUAUCGUAUUAAGAAACUUCGAUUCACGUAAUUAUAAUAUGUUUUAAAUGACCUUUGUUGUUCCACCCUACUCCUAAGAGUCGAAGCGUAACCUAGUCUUAAGUAUAUAACAGUCUAUUGCAAAAUUGUUAUGUAGUUUUUGGAAUACUAUAAUAAAAAAUACUGAUAGAAAGCUCAAACUAUGGGAUUGAAAACAAGAACUUAUUAUGAAGAUCAUGCUUUAAUAAUAGAAUAUAUACUUAUACGAUUAAUAUUAAAAGAGUUGAAAUAGUAUUUAUAAGGUUCCUAAUGGGCAAUAUGUGGCUGUAACAUGGUUGCCGGCAACUUUAUAGUUGUAUUCAAAAACCCAAAUGUUAUUUUGGUUGGUAUUGUUCCAGUUAUUAGUUAAGCUGAUUUGUAAACCAUAUUAGUUAUGGCCAAUAGCCAUGUAGUACCGAUAUGGCCACUAUUGCCCGUUUAGGAGCACUUUUGACCUGGUUCUCUAUCAAAAAGUUGCAAGCUAUAAAAAAGCAAGUGUGAGUCUGUGCAUUCAGUGUGUAAUGCUUUAGAUGUUUAACUGAAAAUAUUGACCAAUUGUGUGAAGUAAGAUUGUUAGCGAGUGACCAUUCGCGUAUAUUGUAUUGUAAUAUAACUUUAUCGACGCGUCAAUUUACGCAGUUUUAAAUAUAUAAAGGGAAACUAUGUUCUUUUGCAUAAAUACAUAAGUAGUUCAAUGAAAUCAUGCCUUGUAUUUUAUGCCUCGGAGUGACUCGGGAAUAUUUGUACCUACCUACUAAAUUUGUUUUUUAUUUUUCUUUUCGUGGAACCAACAAUAAAUACGGAUAAUGUGUAUUUUUUAAACAGUGUCGAAAGUACUUUUAGUAGUAGUCGCGAUGUUUGUAACUGAUUUUGUAUGUACCAAAAUUAUUGUUAAAUUGUAAUAUUGAAGGAUGGUAUACAUAUAAGUGAAACUGGGUGUAAGUUCAUUGGAUGCGAGCACGGUGCCUUUCUAUUAUAUAUAAGCCUUAUAGUUAGACGCUGAAGAACUGUUUUCCUAUGACAAAAUAAUUUUAGAUCAAGAAAGCUCAGGUUUGUUUUUAAAGAGAGAAUAUACACUUCUAUUGAAAGUUAUAAUGUAUCGGAACAGGGCCUGUUUAUGUGAAAACGUGUUCAUAUAUAAAAAAAUAUAAUCCUUUGGUUGAAUUUUUUGCAAAUAAUUACGCAUUUAGAUUGAACUUUCAUCCCGUUCCACGGUUUUAUUUGUUCCAUACUAUUUUGAGAGCUGUAGUAUUCGUAAAUUGAUUUGUUAACAAAAACAUCGAACGUUUUGACCGAGGUAUUUUAGGAAAAAAGUAAAUAGAAUUGUUAAAAUGUUUGUAAAGUCCGCUCUCAAAGUAAUCUGGAGAAAAUUCGACGUUUUAAGUUUUUUUUAUUCAUAAGAAAAUGUGUGUAUGAGUUCAGUAGGAACAGUGUUAUUUUAGUAUUCGCGUUAUGUCUUAAGUUUUGUUGUACGAUGUUUUAUUUCUAUAGAUAUUUAAUAUCCACAUUGUAUAUAGUAGAUAGUACAAAAAUAUAAAAAUGAAAAAGUUUAAAAAUUA